CACGCACGUUGAAAAGUGCGGGGAUGAGGUGUGGGUAGCGGAGAAAUUCCAAUCGAACUUGGAGAUAGCUGGUUCUCUCCGAAAUAGCUUUAGGGCUAGCCUCGAGGUAAAGAGUCAUGGAGGUAGAGCACUGUUUGGACUAGGGGCCCUUCUCGGGUUACCGAAUUCAGAUAAACUCCGAAUGCCAUGUACUUAUACUCGGGAGUCAGACUGCGAGUGAUAAGAUCCGUAGUCGAAAGGGAAACAGCCCAGACCACCAGUUAAGGUCCCCAAAUAUAUGUUAAGUGGAAAAGGAUGUGGGGUUGCUUAGACAACCAGGAUGUUGGCUUAGAAGCAGCCACCAUUGAAAGAGUGCGUAAUAGCUCACUGGUCGAGUGACCCCGCGCCGAAAAUGUACCGGGGCUAAACAUAUUACCGAAACUGUGGAUGAACCUCUUUAGAGGUUCGUGGUAGGAGAGCGUUCUAAGGGCGGUGAAGUCAGACCGGAAGGACUGGUGGAGCGCUUAGAAGUGAGAAUGCCGGUAUGAGUAGCGAAAGAAGGGUGAGAAUCCCUUCCACCGAAUAUCUAAGGUUUCCUGAGGAAGGCUCGUCCGCUCAGGGUUAGUCGGGACCUAAGCCGAGGCCGAUAGGCGUAGGCGAUGGACAACAGGUAGAGAUUCCUGUACCAGUGCUAAUUGUUUAACCGAUGGGGUGACACAGAAGGAUAGGGAAUCGCACGAAUGGAAAUGUGCGUCCAAGCAGUGAGUGUGAGAAGUAGGCAAAUCCGCUUCUCGCGAAGCAUGAGCUGUGAUGGGGAAGGAAAUUAAGUACGGAAGUUCCUGAUUUCACGCUGUCAAGAAAAGCCUCUAGGAAGAGUAGUACUGCCCGUACCGCAAACCGACACAGGUAGAUGAGGAGAGAAUCCUAAGGUGAGCGAGAGAACUCUCGUUAAGGAACUCGGCAAAAUGACCCCGUAACUUCGGGAGAAGGGGUGCUCUAUUAGGGUGCAAGCCCGAGAGAGCCGCAGUGAAUAGGCCCAGGCGACUGUUUAGCAAAAACACAGGUCUCUGCAAAACCGUAAGGUGACGUAUAGGGGCUGACGCCUGCCCGGUGCUGGAAGGUUAAGAGGAGUGCUUAGCUUCGGCGAAGGUACGAAUUGAAGCCCCAGUAAACGGCGGCCGUAACUAUAACGGUCCUAAGGUAGCGAAAUUCCUUGUCGGGUAAGUUCCGACCCGCACGAAAGGCGCAACGAUCUGGGCACUGUCUCAACGAGAGACUCGGUGAAAUUAUAGUACCUGUGAAGAUGCAGGUUACCCGCGACAGGACGGAAAGACCCCGUGGAGCUUUACUGCAACCUGAUAUGGAAUGUUUGUACCGCUUGUACAGGAUAGGUAGGAGCCGAAGAGACGUGUGCGCUAGCAUACGAGGAGGCAAUGGUGGGAUACUACCCUGGCUGUAUGACCAUUCUAACCCGCCACGCUUAGCGCGUGGGGAGACAGUGUCAGGUGGGCAGUUUGACUGGGGCGGUCGCCUCCUAAAGAGUAACGGAGGCGCCCAAAGGUUCCCUCAGAAUGGAUGGAAAUCAUUCGCAGAGUGUAAAGGCACAAGGGAGCUUGACUGCGAGACUGACAAGUCGAGCAGGGACGAAAGUCGGGCUUAGUGAUCCGGUGGUUCCGCAUGGAAGGGCCAUCGCUCAACGGAUAAAAGCUACCCCGGGGAUAACAGGCUUAUCUCCCCCAAGAGUCCACAUCGACGGGGAGGUUUGGCACCUCGAUGUCGGCUCGUCGCAUCCUGGGGCUGUAGUCGGUCCCAAGGGUUGGGCUGUUCGCCCAUUAAAGCGGCACGCGAGCUGGGUUCAGAACGUCGUGAGACAGUUCGGUCCCUAUCCGUCGCGGGCGCAGGAAAUUUGAGAGGAGCUGUCCUUAGUACGAGAGGACCGGGAUGGACACACCGCUGGUGUACCAGUUGUUCCGCCAGGAGCAUCGCUGGGUAGCUAUGUGUGGCAGGGAUAAACGCUGAAAGCAUCUAAGCGUGAAGCCCCCCUCAAGAUGAGAUUUCCCAUUUCUUCGGAAAGUAAGAUCCCUGAAAGAUGAUCAGGUAGAUAGGUUUGGAGUGGAAGUGUAGCGAUACAUGGAGCGGACAAAUACUAAUCGAUCGAGGACUUAACCAAAA
This 2151-nucleotide ribosomal RNA is filed under the name Listeria monocytogenes. Its description in RNAcentral is "partial 23S ribosomal RNA". It matches the Rfam family "Bacterial large subunit ribosomal RNA", at positions 781 to 2925 of the family's 2925-position model. The record is from RNAcentral. Lineage: Bacteria; Bacillati; Bacillota; Bacilli; Caryophanales; Listeriaceae.